UCAAGCCAGACAAGCGCCUUUACAUGAGGGCCCAGAGGCAUCUAGAAGUCAGAUGUGAGCUGAGCCCUUCAUUCAGUCACCAGUAUUACAGAUGAAAGAUUUAAGGCAUGGCCUGAAGAUACACAAGUCUUUCAUGUUCCUGAAGAAAAGUCAAGGUUGCUGGCCAGUGGUUUGCUGA
This 178-nucleotide long non-coding RNA is filed under the name Salvator merianae (Argentine black and white tegu). Its description in RNAcentral is "lncRNA (ENSSMRG00000005900.1)". Lineage: Eukaryota; Metazoa; Chordata; Lepidosauria; Squamata; Teiidae. The record is from RNAcentral.